AUGUGCAACUGCAGGGACGCUGCCGCAGGUACACCUGUGGUCAUCUCUGCUGGGGGAAGAUGGGGGCUAGCAAAACUCGAAUGUGGAAGAGCAGAGUGCUUCAAUGGGUGGAGGAGGUCAACUGUUACGAGCAGUGGAAGCAAUGACCAGGCCAUAUUUCUGUCACAAGAACCAGUCAAGUGUCAUCUUAUGUCAUUUGUUGAUAGUGUAACAUACCACGUGGCAGUGCUGACCUGGGUAAUAUUUCACUGAGUUGUGUAUCUUCUUUUCUGGAGCUCACUCUGUAAAAUAGGUAUCCCACUAAAGGAACCUGCUCUGAAGAGUUCCUUCACUGUGCAGUCUUUCAGGACCAA
Molecule: long non-coding RNA, 353 nt
Filed under: Anas platyrhynchos platyrhynchos (common mallard)
Lineage: Eukaryota; Metazoa; Chordata; Aves; Anseriformes; Anatidae
Description: lncRNA (ENSAPLG00000024008.1)
Source: RNAcentral